RNAcentral lists this transfer RNA (76 nucleotides) under Labeo calbasu (orange-fin labeo). RNAcentral describes it as "tRNA-Asn". Lineage: Eukaryota; Metazoa; Chordata; Actinopteri; Cypriniformes; Cyprinidae. The record is from RNAcentral.
UAGAUGGAUGCUCGCUGGUUUGAGCGCUUAGCUGUUAACUAAGAGUUUGUAGGAUCGAGGCCUUCCCCAAUCUAGU